RNAcentral lists this ribosomal RNA (253 nucleotides) under uncultured bacterium. RNAcentral describes it as "partial 16S ribosomal RNA". It matches the Rfam family "Bacterial small subunit ribosomal RNA", at positions 524 to 776 of the family's 1533-position model. The record is from RNAcentral.
UACAGAGGUCUCAACCGUUGUUCGGAUUCAUUGGGCGUAAAGGGUGCGUAGGCGGCCAACUAAGUCAGACGUGAAAUCCCUCGGCUUAACCGGGGAACUGCGUCUGAUACUGGAUGGCUUGAAUCCGGGAGAGGGAUGCGGAAUUCCAGGUGUAGCGGUGAAAUGCGUAGAUAUCUGGAGGAACACCGGUGGCGAAGGCGGCAUCCUGGACCGGCAUUGACGCUGAGGAGCGAAAGCCAGGGGAGCAAACGGG